ACUCCUACGGGAGGCAGCAGUAGGGUAUUUUUGGCAAUGGGGGCAACCGUGACUGUUGAACGCCGCGUGAGUGAAGAUGGUUUUCGGAUCGUAAAGCUCUGAGUUAGAGAAGAACUAGUGGAGAUCAACAGGCACACAGGACGGUACCUACCA
RNAcentral lists this ribosomal RNA (153 nucleotides) under uncultured Streptococcus sp. Its description in RNAcentral is "partial 16S ribosomal RNA". It matches the Rfam family "Bacterial small subunit ribosomal RNA", at positions 335 to 484 of the family's 1533-position model. Lineage: Bacteria; Bacillati; Bacillota; Bacilli; Lactobacillales; Streptococcaceae. The record is from RNAcentral.